Long non-coding RNA from Homo sapiens (human), 3250 nucleotides. RefSeq lists it as uncharacterized. The record is from RefSeq and is a predicted model, not a curated record. The transcript has 2 exons. Lineage: Eukaryota; Metazoa; Chordata; Mammalia; Primates; Hominidae.
CACCACGCCUGGCCUCUCUCUUCCUCUUCUUCUAAGACCACAGUCCUGUCAGAUCAGGGCCCCAACCUUCCAACCUCACCUAACCUUAACUACCUCCUAAAGACUCUACCUCCCGAUACAAUCAUAGGGUGGGUUAUGGCUUCAACAUAUGAAUUUGGGGGAAAACAAUUCAGCUUAUAGUAAUUGUGUUUGGAAGAGAAUAAAUGAUAAGGCUGCUUUGUUCAUCCCAAACCUUUCCUCCUUUGAUAACUCCCAGGCCCACCCACGCAAGAAGAUUUAUCCUCAAUGGUUUCUAGUCCAUUCCUGCUCUGGACUGUGGUUUUACGACACGCUUUUGCAGGUUGUAUCCUGCACAAAGGCCCCAGCUGACAGGGAAGCAGGGGCUGAAACCCAGCCUGAGCUCAUGCCUUUGUCCUGGUGUGAGCAGCAUCACCCCAAAGGGCAUCUUUCCUAAAAAUGACACUUUAUGGGUUGGUGGCACCUGGCUUUCGGGCCAUUUCUUACUUUAGAAGUUUUUGCUUCCUAUGCAUGGAAUCCCAGAGAGGGCAAAAAGAGUGUGAACAGAGCCCAAGGGAGCCCUGGGCUGUGGGGGGCCCCACCGGUGGAUGGAUGGGGGGAGCAGCCAAGCAGGAGCAGUAUAGCGGAGGUUAGGAGCGGUUCGGCUGCGAGAGCACUGGGUUCUGAGCUAGUUGUGCACUUGCUGCACGUGGCCCUGGGCAAAUCAUUCUACUUCUCAGAGCCUUAGACCCCAUCUGUAAAGCAAGGGCAAUACUUCACAGGUGGGAGUACAGAUUAGCAAAAAUGUCCACAAAUCACUUAGCACAGUGCCUGACACAGCAGUGAUCCUUGUUAGGGCCAGUAGAAGAGGCAUCCUCAAGCUCUGGGGGUCCUCAUUGCAUCCUCUCUGGGAGACUGGAAUGUAUCCUUGAAGAACAGCAGAGUAAGUGUCAAAAUCAAGCACAGUGGCUCUGCAGUGGGGCUGCAUAGGAACACAUCCUCGUUCCAUCACUAUUUCAUCAUGGACAAGGUGCCUCCCCUGUGUGGGCUGCAGGGUUUUCAUCAGUAAAAUGGAGAAUAAAAAUAGGACCUGCCUCCCUGGUUUGUAGGAAAAAGUUCGAGCUAAUACGUAAAAAGUACACAGAACACUAUCCAAUAUAUCAAACAUUCCAUAAAUACUGGUUGCAUUUUUUUUCUUUAGCUUCAAAUAUCGGUUGGUAACUACAGGUUGUUUUCACAAAAAUAAAAGUUAUAAUCGUCAAAUUACUUAAUUUUAUAAAAUAUGUUCAAUCGUGGCGUUUCAGCUAACUCUUGCAACAAGCCCUAGAGAUAGGCAGGACACUCUUUAUUUUUAUUUCGUGGAGGAGGUUGGAUUCGCAAAUGGUUACCUUGGGCAAGUUUACACGUGUCAGACCCAUCCCUUCAACCUAGCUCUGUCUCCAAGAAUCCGGUGACCCCUCAACUGCUGGUGGCACAUGGGUCCUUUGAAGAGAUGUCUUCUCACUUGUUUUAGAGGUGCAUCGUAUAGAAUUGGCAAGUGCCAUGUGCUGGAAAACACCAGGUUUUCAUGAGGAGCACACUCACAUCUUUGAGGGCAGGCAGUAUGAACUCUGAAGUCAAGCGGCAGCGUUCAAAUUCCUGCUCAACCACUUAGCCAGGUGGCCUUAGGCAAGUGCUCCUCAAGAGGUUCCCCUCUGUGAAUCAGGGACGCUGCCUAGGAUAGAUGUUGGUUAUUGGUAUUACUUAGUAUCCAUCCAGGUGUGGAAUGUCCUGAGGCUGGGAAGGCUGGAGACCGCAGUUCGACAAAACAGCCGCUAGAGGUCCCCAUGGAGCCGCAUUGAACAUCCAAGAAUUCUGUUUAAUCCUCCUGUCUUGGGCCAGACCAGCUGGCCCUGCUGGAACUGAGGGCCCCUCUUUGUCCUGAUAAGCACUCUUCCUUCCCUUAAAGCUGGUGACCCUUCUAAGGGGCUGUCAAGGGCUAAUGCUGAGACUCACAGGUUCCUGACCUUCAGUCCCCAGAAGUGGGCCCUCAGGUUUAAUCCUGAGGCGAGGGGUUGCAGGCCUGUUCCAGUGGAUUCCCAGGGGCCAGGAUGGGCUCUGUGAGGACUCCAGGUCAGGCUGUCUCCACCCUGGGCAAACUCAGGCAACCUUUUCGUCUUUCACUUUUAGAAAAGACAAAAAUGUAAUCUGCAUGAAGUCAGGGUGUCUUGGCAGACCCUGCAGGCCAGGAGCCAGACCCUCAUAGGGAAGGAACCCUGGACAUGGGCCAUCACUGCAUGCCUGGGAUGUGGCCCAGAGGCAGCACACAGCACAACCCUGUGGGGAGGUAACAGCUAGUGGAGCUGAAAGAGAAAGGGGCACUGGAGAAGCAGGAAUCAUUAUACGAAAAUUUAAUUUCCAGCUGGAAGACAUCUUGUGGAGACCAUCUAGUUCAGCUUCUUCAUUGUAUAGCUGAGGACACCCAGGCCCAGAGAGGGGAAGUGAUUUGGUCAAAGUCACACAGCAAGUAAAGGACAAAGCUGAGAGCAGAUCCCAGGCAAGCUUCUUCCAUCUGGUGAAAAAGAUGAACACCAGGCGUGUCUGAUCUUCCCAGAGGAAGAAGGGAGCAUCUUUUUGAACAGCAUUUCUGUGAGAAAUGGGAUCCUAAGGUGGCCUCCAAGAUUGACACGCCAUGGUACAAUCUUCGUGAUCGUAAGAAGAACCUGUGAAUACGAUGAGCUAUCACUCCUGUGCUUUUGCGGUUUUAUGUGGCAAAGGGAGAGUGUUCUGGGUGGGCCUGACCUGAUCAGGCAUAUCCUCUAAAAUCAGAGUUUUCUCCAGCUGGUUCCAGAAGACUAAGUCAGAGAGAUGCUCUGUGUUUGGGCCAGAAGCAAGCAAACAUCCACAUUGUGAACUGCCUAUGGGGGCCACCUGGCAAGGAACUGCAGGUGUUUUCUGGGACCUGAGAGCAUUCCCUGGCCAAUCAUUAGCAGGAAAACAGGAACUCACUCCUAUAACUGAGAGGAAAUAAAAUUUACCAACAACCAAUGAGCCUGGAAGAAGACCCUGAGCCUCAAAUGAGAACUGCAGCCCCAGCCAACACUGAUUUCAGCCUUGUAAGUACCUGAGCAGAGAACUCAGCCAUGCUAUAUCAGGACUUCUGACCUACAUUACUGUAAGAUCAUAAAUGUGUUGUUUUAAGCCACUACAUUUGUGAUAGUUUGUUAUGCAGCAAUAGAAAGCUAAUACAACUUCCAAAAAUUCUACUGUGUAA